CCUACGGGUGGCAGCAGUGGGGAAUAUUGCACAAUGGGGGAAACCCUGAUGCAGCGACGCCGCGUGAAGGAAGAAGUAUUUCGGUAUGUAAACUUCUAUCAGCAGGGAAGAAAAUGACGGUACCUGACUAAGAAGCCCCGGCUAACUACGGGCCAGCAGCCGGGGUAAUACGUAGGGGGCAAGCGUUAUCCGGAUUUACUGGGUGUAAAGGGAGCGUAGGCGGCGAUGCAAGUCAGAAGUGAAAGCCCGGGGCUCAACUCCGGGACUGCUGUCGAAACUGUGUUGCUUGAUUGCAGGAGAGGUAAGUGGAAUUCCUGGUGUAGCGGUGAAAUGCGUAGAUAUUAGGAGGAACACCAGUGGCGAAGGCGGCGUACUGGACUGUAAAUGACGCUGAGGCUCGAAAGCGUGGGGAGCAAACAGGAUUAGAUACCCUGGUAGUC
RNAcentral lists this ribosomal RNA (440 nucleotides) under uncultured bacterium. RNAcentral's name for it is "partial 16S ribosomal RNA". It matches the Rfam family "Bacterial small subunit ribosomal RNA", at positions 338 to 795 of the family's 1533-position model. The record is from RNAcentral.